UUGAUGCGCAGACUACACAUGCAGUCGAGCGAGCUCUUCGGAGCUAGCGGCGGACGGGUUAGUAACGCGUGGGAACGUGCCCUUCACUGCGGAAUAGCCACUGGAAACGGUGAGUAAUACCGCAUACGCCCUUCGGGGGAAAGAUUUAUCGGUGAAGGAUCGGCCCGCGUUAGAUUAGAUAGUUGGUGGGGUAACGGCCUACCAAGUCUACGAUCUAUAGCUGGUUUUAGAGGAUGAUCAGCAACACUGGGACUGAGACACGGCCCAGACUCCUACGGGAGGCAGCAGUGGGGAAUCUUGGACAAUGGGCGCAAGCCUGAUCCAGCCAUGCCGCGUGAGUGAUGAAGGCCUUAGGGUCGUAAAGCUCUUUCGCCAGAGAUGAUAAUGACAGUAUCUGGUAAAGAAACCCCGGCUAACUCCGUGCCAGCAGCCGCGGUAAUACGGAGGGGGUUAGCGUUGUUCGGAAUUACUGGGCGUAAAGCGCACGUAGGCGGAUCAGAAAGUUGGGGGUGAAAUCCCGGGGCUCAACCCCGGAACUGCCUCCAAAACUCCUGGUCUUGAGUUCGAGAGAGGUGAGUGGAAUUCCGAGUGUAGAGGUGAAAUUCGUAGAUAUUCGGAGGAACACCAGUGGCGAAGGCGGCUCACUGGCUCGAUACUGACGCUGAGGUGCGAAAGUGUGGGGAGCACACAGGAUUAGAUACCCUGGUAGU
This 710-nucleotide ribosomal RNA is filed under the name Marinovum sp. RNAcentral's name for it is "bacterial SSU rRNA". It matches the Rfam family "Bacterial small subunit ribosomal RNA", at positions 36 to 794 of the family's 1533-position model. Lineage: Bacteria; Pseudomonadati; Pseudomonadota; Alphaproteobacteria; Rhodobacterales; Roseobacteraceae. The record is from RNAcentral.